RNAcentral lists this ribosomal RNA (859 nucleotides) under uncultured bacterium. Its description in RNAcentral is "bacterial SSU rRNA". It matches the Rfam family "Bacterial small subunit ribosomal RNA", at positions 94 to 954 of the family's 1533-position model. The record is from RNAcentral.
CACGGCGCACGGGUGCGUAACACGUGGGCAAUCUGCCCUCGGAUGGGGGAUAACCCCGCGAAAGCGGGGCUAAUACCGCAUGACAUUCCGGAGACUCCGGUCUCUGGAUUCAAAGGCCGCAAGGUCGUCUGAGGAGGAGCCCGCGCCCGAUUAGCUUGUUGGCGGGGUAACGGCCCACCAAGGCUUUGAUCGGUAGCUGGUCUGAGAGGAUGGCCAGCCACACUGGAACUGAGACACGGUCCAGACUCCUACGGGAGGCAGCAGUGGGGAAUCUUGCGCAAUGGGCGAAAGCCUGACGCAGCGACGCCGCGUGGGGGAUGAAGCUUCUCGGAGUGUAAACCCCUUUCGACCCGGACGAAUACCUCGCAAGAGGGGUGACGGUACCGGUAGAAGAAGCCCCGGCUAACUACGUGCCAGCAGCCGCGGUAAGACGUAGGGGGCCAGCGUUGUUCGGAAUUACUGGGUGUAAAGGGUUCGUAGGCGGUGUGGCAAGUCGGGAGUGAAAUUUCUGGGCUUAACUCAGAAGCUGCUUCCGAAACUGCUGUGCUAGAGUGCGGGAGAGGCGCGUGGAAUUGCAGGUGUAGCGGUGAAAUGCGUAGAUAUCUGCAGGAACACCCGUGGCGAAAGCGGCGCGCUGGACCGUUACUGACGCUGAGGAACGAAAGCUAGGGGAGCAAACAGGAUUAGAUACCCUGGUAGUCCUAGCCCUAAACGAUCAGGACUUGGGGUGCCUUCCGUUCGGAAGUCGUCCCGGAGCUAACGCGUUAAGUCCUGCACCUGGGGAGUACGGUCGCAAGACUGAAACUCAAAGGAAUUGACGGGGGCCCGCACAAGCGGUGGAACAUGUGGUUCAAUUCGA